GACGAACGCUGGCGGCGUGCCUAAUACAUGCAAGUCGAACGAACUCUGGUAUUGAUUGGUGCUUGCAUCAUGAUUUACAUUUGAGUGAGUGGCGAACUGGUGAGUAACACGUGGAUAACCUGCCCAGAAGAAGGGGAUAACACCUGGAAACAGAUGCUAAUACCGUAUAACAACGAAAACCACAUGGUUUUCGUUUGAAAGAUGGCCUUUGUGCUAUCGCUUUUGGAUGGAUCCGCGGCGCAUUAGCUAGUUGGUGAGAUAAAGGCUCAC
This 270-nucleotide ribosomal RNA is filed under the name uncultured bacterium. RNAcentral's name for it is "partial 16S ribosomal RNA". It matches the Rfam family "Bacterial small subunit ribosomal RNA", at positions 28 to 268 of the family's 1533-position model. The record is from RNAcentral.